RNAcentral lists this ribosomal RNA (324 nucleotides) under Ehrlichia ewingii. Its description in RNAcentral is "bacterial SSU rRNA". It matches the Rfam family "Bacterial small subunit ribosomal RNA", at positions 125 to 483 of the family's 1533-position model. The record is from RNAcentral. Lineage: Bacteria; Pseudomonadati; Pseudomonadota; Alphaproteobacteria; Rickettsiales; Anaplasmataceae.
UCUACCUAGUAGUAUGGAAUAGCCAUUAGAAAUGAUGGGUAAUACUGUAUAAUCCCUGCGGGGGAAAGAUUUAUCGCUAUUAGAUGAGCCUACGUUAGAUUAGCUAGUUGGUAAGGUAAUGGCUUACCAAGGCUAUGAUCUAUAGCUGGUCUGAGAGGACGAUCAGCCACACUGGAACUGAGAUACGGUCCAGACUCCUACGGGAGGCAGCAGUGGGGAAUAUUGGACAAUGGGCGAAAGCCUGAUCCAGCUAUGCCGCGUGAGUGAAGAAGGCCUUCGGGUUGUAAAGCUCUUUCAAUAGGGAAGAUAAUGACGGUACCUAUA